RNAcentral lists this ribosomal RNA (428 nucleotides) under Bacillus licheniformis. RNAcentral's name for it is "bacterial SSU rRNA". It matches the Rfam family "Bacterial small subunit ribosomal RNA", at positions 18 to 438 of the family's 1533-position model. The record is from RNAcentral. Lineage: Bacteria; Bacillati; Bacillota; Bacilli; Caryophanales; Bacillaceae.
CCUGGCUCAGGACGAACGCUGGCGGCGUGCCUAAUACAUGCAAGUCGAGCGGACAGAUGGGAGCUUGCUCCCUGAUGUUAGCGGCGGACGGGUGAGUAACACGUGGGUAACCUGCCUGUAAGACUGGGAUAACUCCGGGAAACCGGGGCUAAUACCGGAUGGUUGUUUGAACCGCAUGGUUCAAACAUAAAAGGUGGCUUCGGCUACCACUUACAGAUGGACCCGCGGCGCAUUAGCUAGUUGGUGAGGUAAUGGCUCACCAAGGCAACGAUGCGUAGCCGACCUGAGAGGGUGAUCGGCCACACUGGGACUGAGACACGGCCCAGACUCCUACGGGAGGCAGCAGUAGGGAUCUUCCGCAAUGGACGAAAGUCUGACGGAGCAACGCCGCGUGAGUGAUGAGGUUUUCGGAUCGUAAAGCUCUGUUG